This 460-nucleotide ribosomal RNA is filed under the name uncultured bacterium. RNAcentral's name for it is "partial 16S ribosomal RNA". It matches the Rfam family "Bacterial small subunit ribosomal RNA", at positions 338 to 795 of the family's 1533-position model. The record is from RNAcentral.
CCUACGGGUGGCAGCAGUGAGGAAUAUUGGUCAAUGGACGCAAGUCUGAACCAGCCACGCCGCGUGCAGGAUGACGGCUCUAUGAGUUGUAAACUGCUUUUGUACGGGGGUAAACACCGCGACGUGUAUCGGUUUGAAAGUAUCGUACGAAUAAGGAUCGGCUAACUCCGUGCCAGCAGCCGCGGUAAUACGGAGGAUCCGAGCGUUAUCCGGAUUUAUUGGGUUUAAAGGGUGCGUAGGCGGGUUGAUAAGUUAGAUGUGAAAUGUUGGGGCUCAACCCCAAAACUGCCUCUGAUACUGUUGGACUUGAGUAUAGUAGAGGUAGGCGGAAUGUAUGGUGUAGCGGUGAAAUGCUUAGAUAUCAGGCAGAACACCGAUUGCGAAGGCAGCUUACCAAACUAUAACUGACGUUGAGGCACGAAAGCGUGGGUAGCAAACAGGAUUAGAUACCCUAGUAGUC